Molecule: non-coding RNA, 94 nt
Filed under: Tiarina fusus
Lineage: Eukaryota; Ciliophora; Prostomatea; Prorodontida; Colepidae
Source: RNAcentral
CCAAAGUACCGGAGCAGAGGGUAGAUUCCGAAAAUACUUUCCCGGUUUCCCACGGGAGAAACUUCUUGGAGAAUAUGAAACUAGGUUGGUCUCG